This 468-nucleotide ribosomal RNA is filed under the name uncultured bacterium. RNAcentral's name for it is "partial 16S ribosomal RNA". It matches the Rfam family "Bacterial small subunit ribosomal RNA", at positions 28 to 507 of the family's 1533-position model. The record is from RNAcentral.
GACGAACGCUGGCGGCGUGCUUAACACAUGCAAGUCGAACGGAAAGGCCCUGCUUUUGUGGGGUGCUCGAGUGGCGAACGGGGGAGUAACACGUGAGUAACCUGCCCUUGACUUUGGGAUAACUUCAGGAAACUGGGGCUAAUACCGGAUAGGAGCUCCUGCUGCAUGGGGGGGGUUGGAAAGUUUCGGCGGUUGGGGAUGGACUCGCGGCUUAUCAGCUUGUUGGUGGGGUAGUGGCUUACCAAGGCUUUGACGGGUAGCCGGCCUGGGAGGGUGACCGGCCACAUUGGGACUGAGAUACGGCCCAGACUCCUACGGGAGGCAGCAGUGGGGAAUAUUGCACAAUGGGCGGAAGCCUGAUGCAGCAACGCCGCGUGCGGGAUGACGGCCUUCGGGUUGUAAACCGCUUUCGCCUGUGACGAAGCGUGAGUGACGGUAAUGGGUAAAGAAGCACCGGCUAACUACGUG